RNAcentral lists this long non-coding RNA (980 nucleotides) under Setaria italica (foxtail millet). RNAcentral describes it as "long non-coding RNA (SITA_LNC002439)". Lineage: Eukaryota; Viridiplantae; Streptophyta; Magnoliopsida; Poales; Poaceae. The record is from RNAcentral.
CUAAUUGCCCUUAGUGCCGGGCCUAGACCACUGCUUUGACCCAUGGGCUAGCACGACACAGCACAAUUAUUAUCCGGACCACACCGUGUUGGGCGUGCCGGGCCAAACUGUGCCCAGGCCGGGCUGGGCGCCCGUUUGACCAUCUAUACCUGUAGCGAUGAGUGGAUUGUAAGUUAGAAACCUACUAUCAUCUCAAAACAAGGUGGUGGUAUAUAGAGCGCACUAGGUGGUGGUAUAUAGAGUGCAUUAGGUGGUGGCAUAUACAUCAAACACCUCGGGAACCUAUAGUAGUGAGUAUAGUAGUGAGUAGAUUGUAUGUUAGAAACCGUUCAUCAUCUCCAAACAGGCUACGCAUACCUAUGGAUAGAAAGGUAUACAUGGCCUGGCGGGCACCUGAGAGUGAUUAGUCAGACAAUGGCUGGACCCAUAAAGAAGAUUAUCUUUUCCUCUAAAGAAACACCCUCUCAGAGAAUAUCCUGGGCUACUUAAUACGAGGGAAAAGAAUCUUGUCAGCAACGAACUCUCUAUACCUUCUAUAAACUGUGCACAACAAAAUAUGUAUGGGAAUGAACAAACAAUUUGGUCCAACAUUUAAAUUAAAUUAGGGAACCCAAUUGUCUACAUACUACCUCUAGUCACUAAGACUCGUCGUGUCAUACAAGUAGAACAGCCUGUCUUGCGCUACUUCUCCUUGUCUGAAAAUCGCCUUGUUUUGCGCUACUAUAUAGUAGUAUGUGCCUUGAACAAAAAGCAAUAUUAAAUAAAGGCUCCACUUUGUUGGAACGGAUUCAUUUCAUUUGUUUUUUGUAUAAGCAUCCUACUUUUAAGGUGACUGAACCUCAAUCAUCCCCACCACAAAGAAGAGGAGAUGACCACAAACAAGAUGAUUGAACAGCAGAGUGAUCCAGGACACGAUUUGACCAUAAAGAGGGGCAAAACAAAUGAGUAAAGCACGUGGGUGAACACUGAAAAGGAGAGGA